Molecule: ribosomal RNA, 253 nt
Filed under: uncultured bacterium
Lineage: Bacteria
Description: partial 16S ribosomal RNA
Rfam family: Bacterial small subunit ribosomal RNA
Source: RNAcentral
UACGGAGGGGGCUAGCGUUGUUCGGAAUUACUGGGCGUAAAGCGCGCGUAGGCGGCUUUGUAAGUUAGAGGUGAAAGCCCAGGGCUUAACCCUGGAAUUGCCCUUAAGACUGCAUCGCUAGAAUCGUGGAGAGGUGAGUGGAAUUCCGAGUGUAGAGGUGAAAUUCGUAGAUAUUCGGAAGAACACCAGUGGCGAAGGCGACUCACUGGACACGUAUUGACGCUGAGGUGCGAAAGCGUGGGGAGCAAACAGG